GGUUCCCUCACCAGGACCCCUCAAUCCACUUGAAUCCCACAACCUCCUCUGAUAGAUUGCACUUGGCAUGGAGAGGGCUGAGGCUGUGGAAUUCCUUGACCCCCAAAGCGGCCUGGGUGGGUAAUUGGUUUAUUGUUGUCACAUGUACCGAAGAUACAGUGAAAAGCCUUGCGUGCGUGCCAUCCAGACAGUCCGCCUGAUGAACGGGCUAACAGGAAGUGCCCAGGUGGGUUCGCGUCGACCUGCAUUGGCUCCUGUGCCGGAAUGUCGCCAAUCUGCACACCCAGUCACACCCCUUCGAUGGUCUUUCCAUCGUCGCCGGACUUUCAGACGCCGCAGAGACACCCCGCCCAGAAACAGGCCCUCGGUUACACCGACCACCAGGAGUCAUAGUAUCACCUCAUGGAAUUAAAGCGGGAGCCUAAUAUUUGGAUGUUUAUCAUGGAUAUCAUCAACAAGGCUUUGCAAUGUUCAAAUAAAACUAAUCUGUUAUUAUUGAAGCAAAUUAAAGUCCUGAUGAUGGGUCUUGGCCUGAAACGUCGACUGAUUAUUUCCCUCCACGGAUGCUGCCCGACUUGCUGAGUUCCUCCAGCAUUUUGUGUGUGUGUGUGUGUGUGUGUGGCUUCAGAUUACAGCAUCUGUAGAAUCUCUUGCGCCCCUGCUCUAUUGAAGCUGCUGCUUAUCUAACGGGCGCCGACAAAACGACGCUCGGGAGACCGCCUGCUUUUCUCCACGGAUGCUGCCUGGUCUGCUGAGUUCCUCAGGCAUCACAGUGUUUUUCGUUCAAACGAUGUUUAGGAUUGGGCGAGUCUCCGCCUACUUCGGAAAGUACAGAUUAACCAUCCUGGGAUGGUGGCCAUCCGUACAUCUGAACCGGUUCAACUAGAGGAAGGCGCCGUGAGUUCGCCAUCCCUGCCCUGGCGCCUGCUGUUCGGCCAAUGUCUAAACCAGCUCAGUGCUCUCCAAGUCUCUCUCUGCUGAGGUCGGGAUUGAUCAGUCCCACCGAGACGCCCUGAUCACACCCCCUCCUUCUGAAGGCCAACCGGGCACGACCCAUCCCGCCGCUGCUCUCCGAUCGGUCCCCACGCACUCUGCUCCUCCACCCACCCUCGGUCACGUUGUCAGCCGGGGGUGGGUGGACAUUGCAAAUACUUAAUGCUCGUCCCCAAAUCCCUCCGCCGGGAAUUGGGUAUGCAAUAGGGAGGGAAGAGGGUGGAGCCGGAGCUGUGGAACUGACGGUUUUGUUUUCAGAAGCGGAUGGAGGAGCAAACUAGUGUCGAAUCACAGAUGUGGAUUCACUAAAAUUAACAUCAGCGGGUUACCCAGAGAUGAGGUCACGACGGGAAUGUAGAAGUGAGAAUGUCAGGUCUCCGGGUUGGAGAUUAUUCCGGUAGAGUCAUCCCGAAGAAUGGGUGUCAACCAGCGUCUCUGACUCCCUCGGUUUCCAGCGGGGGUCUUGCACGUCAGACGGGGUCUGGGACAAAGCCAGCUUUGGGCGAUUAUAGGCAGGGUAUUCGUAAUGCUCUGGCCUCUUGCCCGCGAAGGCAGUCCAUUCCCCGCGGUCCUCACUUUCGGCUCUCGUUCCCCAGUGACCACCAUCCCACUCCGCCCCAGAUCAACAAGAUGCCUCGGCGGGGAAUUUCGGGAAAAGUUGGCCAUGUCUCCCAAUAUCUACAUCCUGGAAGAAAUAAGGAGGGCCAAUUUGCCUACUCUACCGUUUGUAUGGCGCCUGGUUAACCCGGGCAUAGAUCACUGUGUAGCCAGGAGGAGGGUCUGUAGAAGGGAGUCCGUGGUCUGCUCACGCCGUCGUCUAGGAACCGGCAGCCGGAUGGUUGAAGGGUUCCCGGCGCCGGUACCCAAGGCUGAGGGGAAACCUGUG
This is a long non-coding RNA of Pristis pectinata (smalltooth sawfish), 1879 nucleotides long. RefSeq lists it as uncharacterized. The record is from RefSeq and is a predicted model, not a curated record. The transcript has 3 exons. NCBI's taxonomy places the organism in Eukaryota, Metazoa, Chordata, Chondrichthyes, Rhinopristiformes, Pristidae.